Molecule: ribosomal RNA, 276 nt
Filed under: uncultured bacterium
Lineage: Bacteria
Description: partial 16S ribosomal RNA
Rfam family: Bacterial small subunit ribosomal RNA
Source: RNAcentral
GUGGAUUAGAUACCCUGGUAGUCCACGCCGUAAACGAUGGAUACUAAGUGUUGGAGAAAUUCAGUGCUGUAGUUAACGCAAUAAGUAUCCCGCCUGGGGAGUAUGCACGCAAGUGUAAAACUCAAAGGAAUUGACGGGGGCCCGCACAAGCGGUGGAGUAUGUGGUUUAAUUCGAAGCAACGCGAAGAACCUUACCAGGUCUUGACAUACCGCGCAAAAGCAUAGAGAUAUGUAAUAGUUAUGGCGGAUACAGGUGGUGCAUGGCUGUCGACAACU